CUAGAAGAAAGUACAAAAGUGGAAAAAGUUGGUAAAAAUGAGGUAUGGUGCUCAAAAGUGGCACCUGCUACUUAUAGACCUCUGCUGGGCUGUCAUGUUCGCUAGGCGAGCAGAAUGGCUCGCCUAGCGAGGGUCUAAUAUGGGCACAAAAGGCCCCUGCGCCCAGAGAAAACAGGGCCUGCUGAACUGUCAUGUUCGCCUAGCGAACAUACCUUCGCCUAGCGAAGGACACGCUUCAACCUUCGCCCCAGCGAGGUUGAGAGGUUUUGCUACUGGAAUGCUCGCUGGGGACUCGCUAGAGCUUCGCCUAGCGAGUGAGUGCUGGCUGCGCUUUUCACCAAAACAGAAUGAACUCGCUACCACCUUCGCCUUCAGCUCGCCUGGCGAAUUAAUUUGACAAUUUACUGGAGCUUUUCGCCUGGAGCUCGCCUAGCGAAGCAGUGCUUCGCCACAGCCUCGCCUAGCGAGCAGGCUGAUGAAAUGCUUGUAUUCUUUGGUUCCUUUGCCAAUUUUCUUGUGUCUUCAUUUUCAAUUAGUUCGUGCCUUUUUCCUGCACAAUAACACACAAAUCAAAGGCACCAAGCUUGUUUAUCAAUGUAAUGCAUUCCAUGUAAAAUAAAUAUGGUUUUGACAAUUUUAGCAAGGAAAAAGAGUGAAAGAUGCCCACAU
RNAcentral lists this long non-coding RNA (669 nucleotides) under Lathyrus oleraceus (garden pea). Its description in RNAcentral is "Pisum sativum (pea) long non-coding RNA (PSAT_LNC026816)". Lineage: Eukaryota; Viridiplantae; Streptophyta; Magnoliopsida; Fabales; Fabaceae. The record is from RNAcentral.